UGACCAAAGUGCCCAGUCGAUAGUCACCAAUGGAUGAAAUGAAACCUAACUACCUGAAGUGAUAGUACCCUGCAUCUCACCAAGUGCUAGGCUGCGCGCUGCCGUCACGCUUCUCUUGCUCCAUAUGCAUUAGGGAGCGCCAGCCUGUCCUGCCCCCAACCUCCCCAGACGCUGAGUGCAUGAGUGACACGCUGCCUCAGCCAUGUGUUGCGAGCUGUACGGGGGGCGCCCCCUGUGCCCCCGCCUGCUGGACUACAUCGUGAUAGUGGGGGCGCGGUCCCCCCCUCGCCCCUCAUCCCCCAUCCACCCCCCAGACC
Hyalella azteca is the source of this 317-nucleotide long non-coding RNA. RefSeq lists it as uncharacterized. Lineage: Eukaryota; Metazoa; Arthropoda; Malacostraca; Amphipoda; Hyalellidae. The record is from RefSeq and is a predicted model, not a curated record. The transcript has 3 exons.